CGAACGCUGGCGGCGUGCUUUAUACAUGCAAGUCGAACGAUGAAGUUCCUUCGGGAAUGGAUUAGUGGCGAACGGGUGAGGAACACGUGAGAAACCUGCCUUUCAUUCUGGGAUAACACCGGGAAACCGGUGCUAAUACCGGAUACUCCGUCUUGGCGGCAUCGCCGAGCCGGGAAAAAAUUUUGAUGAAAGAUGGUCUCGCGGCCUAUCAGCUAGUUGGUGAGGUAAUGGCUCACCAAGGCGACGAUCCGUAACUGGUCUGAGAGGAUGAUCAGUCACACUGGAACUGAGACACGGUCCAGACUCCUACGGGAGGCAGCAGUAGGGAAUAUUGGGCAAUGGGCGCAAGCCUGACCCAGC
This 360-nucleotide ribosomal RNA is filed under the name uncultured bacterium. RNAcentral describes it as "bacterial SSU rRNA". It matches the Rfam family "Bacterial small subunit ribosomal RNA", at positions 30 to 392 of the family's 1533-position model. The record is from RNAcentral.